Molecule: unclassified non-coding RNA, 352 nt
Filed under: soil metagenome
Description: partial contains 5.8S ribosomal RNA, internal transcribed spacer 2, and large subunit ribosomal RNA
Rfam family: 5.8S ribosomal RNA (bases 1-120)
Source: RNAcentral
GAUGAAGAACGUAGCGAAAUGCGAUAAGUAAUGUGAAUUGCAGAAUUCAGUGAAUCAUCGAAUCUUUGAACGCACAUUGCGCCCGCCAGUAUUCUGGCGGGCAUGCCUGUUCGAGCGUCAUCACAACCCUCAGGCCCCCGGGCCUGGCGUUGGGGAUCGGCGGAAGCCCCCUGUGGGCACACGCCGUCCCUCAAAUACAGUGGCGGUCCCGCCGCAGCUUCCAUUGCGUAGUAGCUAACACCUCGCAACUGGAGAGCGGCGCGGCCAUGCCGUAAAACACCCAACUUCUGAAUGUUGACCUCGAAUCAGGUAGGAAUACCCGCUGAACUUAAGCAUAUCAAUAAGCGGAGGA